RNAcentral lists this ribosomal RNA (474 nucleotides) under uncultured bacterium. RNAcentral describes it as "bacterial SSU rRNA". It matches the Rfam family "Bacterial small subunit ribosomal RNA", at positions 33 to 507 of the family's 1533-position model. The record is from RNAcentral.
GACGACGCUGGCGGCGUGCCUAACACAUGCAAGUCGAGCGGGGUUGAGGCGAGAGGUAACUCGAACUUCUACCUAGCGGCGGACGGGUGAGUAACGCGUGGGCAACCCGCCUCAAGGUUUGGGAUAACAGCCCGAAAGGGCUGCUAAUACCGGAUAUGCCUAUGGCCUCGCAUGGGGCUAUGAGCAAAGGGGAAACCCGCCUUGAGAUGGGCCCGCGUCCCAUCAGCUAGUUGGUGAGGUAACAGCUCACCAAGGCGACGACGGGUAGCCGGCCUGAGAGGGUGACCGGCCACACUGGGACUGAGACACGGCCCAGACUCCUACGGGGGGCAGCAGUGGGGGAUCUUGCACAAUGGGCGAAAGCCUGAUGCAGCGACGCCGCGUGAGCGAAGAAGGCCUUCGGGUUGUAAAGCUCUGUCUGGAGGGACGAACAAAAUGACGGUACCUCCGGAGGAAGCCACGGCUAACUACGUG